CCUACGGGUGGCAGCAGUGAGGAAUAUUGGUCAAUGGACGCAAGUCUGAACCAGCCAUGCCGCGUGCAGGAAGACGGCCCUAUGCGUUGUAAACUGCUUUUAUACGGGGGUAAAUACCGAUACGUGUAUCUGGUUGAAAGUACCGUACGAAUAAGGAUCGGCUAACCCCGUUCCAGCAGCCGCGGUAAUACGGUGGAUUCAAGCGUUCUCCGGCUUUAUUGGGUUUAAAGGGUGCGUAGGCGGUUCGGUAAGUUAGAGGUGAAAUCCCGGUGCUCAACCUCGACACUGCCUCUGAUACUGUCUGGCUAGAGUGUAGUGGCGGAAGGCGGAAUGUAUGGUGUAGCGGUGAAAUGCGUAGAGAUCAGACAGAACGCCGAUGGCGAAGGCAGCUUUCCAAGCUACUACUGACGUUGAGGCACGAAAGCGUGGGGAGCAAACAGGAUUAGAUACCCGAGUAGUC
Molecule: ribosomal RNA, 460 nt
Filed under: uncultured bacterium
Lineage: Bacteria
Description: partial 16S ribosomal RNA
Rfam family: Bacterial small subunit ribosomal RNA
Source: RNAcentral